GCCCGGCUAGCUCAGUUGGUAGAGCAUUCGACUCUUACGAGUUGUCUAUCGAAUUGUCGUGGGUUCGAGCCCCACGUUGGGCG
This 83-nucleotide transfer RNA is filed under the name Cronartium quercuum f. sp. fusiforme G11. It matches the Rfam family "tRNA". Rfam says of the family: Transfer RNA (tRNA) molecules are approximately 80 nucleotides in length. Their secondary structure includes four short double-helical elements and three loops (D, anti-codon, and T loops). The record is from Rfam by way of RNAcentral. Lineage: Eukaryota; Fungi; Basidiomycota; Pucciniomycetes; Pucciniales; Coleosporiaceae.